ACCAAGCUCACUGCAGUUUUGGAUUAUCCUUUGUGUGUCAGGAAUUCACACACUCCCGAAGAGAACGGCAUUUAUUUAUUCCUUAGGUUUCAUGACCCUCAGUCACAAACCCUGGAUGAUCUUGAACAGCUUCAGGAAUAAACAUAAAGAUAUGAACAGGGCCAUGUCUUCAAUGGAGCAGUCCUGGACUGCAAGAAUUGAGAACUGUGUGCGCGACUACGUGGCACCGGGAGUGAGGAAACGGUAAGGUAACAGCAUGGCGGGUGAUUCAGAGGCUGCCCGCCAGAGAGACAACACGUUUCCUGUGGCUGCAUAAUUAAUGAAGCAGGAAGUGGACAAUACAGUGUGAAAAUCAGUCAUUGCAGCAGAAAGAAGAUGAUGUGAAGAUCAGUGAUGGAGGAAUAUUAAGGAAUGAGGGUCUUGCUCUGCUUCUUCUUCCUCCUCUUCUCCAUGUCCCUGUUGUCAUGAAGAGACAUUAAAGUAUUUAAUGUUAUUAGAAAUUGUUUUUAAAAUGGAGUUGUAGUGGGGUCUGUGUCUAUGUGUUUGACUGUGUGUGUCUUAAUUGGAUUAAAGCCAGUUAGUCUGGGUGCUUUGAUGUAUAGUAGUUUUGAGACAUUAGUUAGAUAAACAUAAGGAAGAUAGAAGGUAAAGUGUAAAUUUGCAUUUGUUGAGUGAAGCACUCAAGAGUGGGAGUAAAAUUUUGUACCCAGCUGGGAGAUGCAAAGCAAUGUGGUUAUAUUACUAAUAAAAUUAGCGGGAUGAAAAUGUUAUCGUUAGAUGUAACAUUAAAAGCCUGGUGAUACAAUGGAAAAUUUAUAUUCAAAGGAAAAGCUAAAUAUAAACAGAAAAGAGUUUGUGUUUGUAAGGUAGAGGCAUUCAAGAUCUAACCAGCCUGUAAGCCUAC
Molecule: long non-coding RNA, 904 nt
Organism: Carcharodon carcharias (great white shark)
Lineage: Eukaryota; Metazoa; Chordata; Chondrichthyes; Lamniformes; Lamnidae
Exons: 3
Source: RefSeq, a predicted model, not a curated record